Molecule: long non-coding RNA, 207 nt
Filed under: Elaeis guineensis (African oil palm)
Lineage: Eukaryota; Viridiplantae; Streptophyta; Magnoliopsida; Arecales; Arecaceae
Description: long non-coding RNA (EGUI_LNC060381)
Source: RNAcentral
GGUGGUGUGCCCAAGGCCCAGGGGACCAAGGCUAAGGUCAAGGUCCAUCAUUCAUGAGGGCUUCAUGGAGGCUCUAGGGCUAGUUGGGCCCUAGGUUGAAGGGCUGUGGGCCUUUCGGGUUCUUGAGGUCUAGGUUAUGUGGGCCUCAAGAGACCAACUCUUUAUGGGCCAGGUCUAGGCCCAGGAUAGGUGAGAUUAGGUCGAGUC